RNAcentral lists this ribosomal RNA (848 nucleotides) under uncultured Staphylococcus sp. Its description in RNAcentral is "bacterial SSU rRNA". It matches the Rfam family "Bacterial small subunit ribosomal RNA", at positions 64 to 896 of the family's 1533-position model. Lineage: Bacteria; Bacillati; Bacillota; Bacilli; Caryophanales; Staphylococcaceae. The record is from RNAcentral.
GAACGGACGAGAAGCUUGCUUCUCUGAUGUUAGCGGCGGACGGGUGAGUAACACGUGGAUAACCUACCUAUAAGACUGGGAUAACUUCGGGAAACCGGAGCUAAUACCGGAUAAUAUUAUGAACCGCAUGGUUCAAAAGUGAAAGACGGUCUUGCUGUCACUUAUAGAUGGAUCCGCGCUGCAUUAGCUAGUUGGUAAGGUAACGGCUUACCAAGGCAACGAUGCAUAGCCGACCUGAGAGGGUGAUCGGCCACACUGGAACUGAGACACGGUCCAGACUCCUACGGGAGGCAGCAGUAGGGAAUCUUCCGCAAUGGGCGAAAGCCUGACGGAGCAACGCCGCGUGAGUGAUGAAGGUCUUCGGAUCGUAAAACUCUGUUAUUAGGGAAGAACAUAUGUGUAAGUAACUGUGCACAUCUUGACGGUACCUAAUCAGAAAGCCACGGCUAACUACGUGCCAGCAGCCGCGGUAAUACGUAGGUGGCAAGCGUUAUCCGGAAUUAUUGGGCGUAAAGCGCGCGUAGGCGGUUUUUUAAGUCUGAUGUGAAAGCCCACGGCUCAACCGUGGAGGGUCAUUGGAAACUGGAAAACUUGAGUGCAGAAGAGGAAAGUGGAAUUCCAUGUGUAGCGGUGAAAUGCGCAGAGAUAUGGAGGAACACCAGUGGCGAAGGCGACUUUCUGGUCUGUAACUGACGCUGAUGUGCGAAAGCGUGGGGAUCAAACAGGAUUAGAUACCCUGGUAGUCCACGCCGUAAACGAUGAGUGCUAAGUGUUAGGGGGUUUCCGCCCCUUAGUGCUGCAGCUAACGCAUUAAGCACUCCGCCUGGGGAGUACGACCGCCAAGGUUG